CAGAAAGCUUGGAGGAGGGACUGAUAGCAAAGUCUUCACUUGCUCAGCCAAAUCCUGUAAUAGUUACAAAUGAAGUUGGUGAGCGCAGUGGCUUCCCAGAGAGUGGUAAUUCUUCAGCAGCUACACCCGUUGUUGUUCUUAGCACCUUGGUAGCCAUUUGCGGUUCAUUUGCUUAUGGCUGUUCUGUAAGUAGCAUACCGUUAUCAUGCAUGCUAGUUACUUUUUUUUUGUUUCUUGAUCGUAAAUGUGAAGAAGAAAUUAGCAAAUUAGAGUAAAAUUGAGUUUUUAAUUGAUUUCUAAUUUUCUAUCCUACCUACAAUCAUGUGGUUGGUAUUAGGUAAGAUUACAUGACUGGUCCAGUAAUUUCAUGUUAGAUGGUGUGUAUUUAUCAAAUGUUCUUCAUUUUCAGCAAACAAUGGAUUAGUGUAUAAUGGUGACUCACCAACUUGAGCAAAUUGGAUUGUUUCAAAGUUUCAUUUUUGUUUUGAAAGGCAGCUUAAUCAUUAAUUAAUAAUCAAUAGAUACUUUAAGACAACAGAAUAGGAUCUUAGAUACAUAUGUUAGUAUAAUACUUGUUAGUAGGUGACUUUAGAGAUUGGCAUUAAUCAAAACUUUCACCAUCAAAUGCAUGAAACAGGUGGAUUAUUCUAAUCAUAAAAAUAAUCUAUUAUAAUAUACACUAAAAAUUCAAAUGGGUACAAGAUUUCUUCUGCAGUUGUCAUUCCAAUUUCUCAUUUCAUAAUUGUCAAACUCUUCUCUUUUUCCAUUGGCUCUCUUUCGUUCAAGAAGAAUAAUCAUGGAGACAUCAGAAAGCUUGGAGGAAGGACUAAUUCCGAAUCCUCCACUUCUUGAGCCAACGCCUAUGAUCACCAAUGAAAUUGGUAACGGCAGUGGCAUGUACGAAAGUGAUCCUUCUACUACGCCUGCUGUUGUUUUCAGCACCUUGGUGGCCAUUUGCGGCUCAUUUACUUACGGCUGUGCUGUAAGAUCCAUUGUUGUUUUGUUGCUGUGAGAGUAAAUGAAUACAAUUUUCUUGCAAGAUUAGUCUCUAAAUGCUUGAAGAUAGCGGGCAUUCAGGAAGCAGUUUUGAGUGAAAUCACUUUCAUAUUAAGCUACUAGUCAAAAUUUUAGCUUUUCAUUGACUGCAAUAGAUUGAUUGAUUAUUGUUUUCAGGUUGGAUAUUCAUCACCUGCUGAGUCUGGAAUGAGGGCAGACCUGGGACUUUCAGUGACAGAAGUAAGUUGACCAAGGUUAUCCAUGAACACAGAACGUUCAAAUAAACAAAUAAAUUCAUAUAAACAUUGGCCAGAAUAUGUCACUUUUGAUACACACGUGUACAUACAACAUCUACUAUUAUGUAUGCAGAUUCACUUAACUGAUCAUUACUAUUAUAUGAUCUUAUACAUUUUGAGUCCUAUUAUUGACCAUGGCUUUCCCUUAUUCUUCUCAUUCUGCAGUACUCAGUUUUUGGUUCAGUAUUGACAUUUGGAGGAAUAAUAGGUUCAUUAGUAAACGGGAAAAUAGCAGACCUCACUGGUCGAAGAGGUGUAAGUCGUUCAAUCAUCCGCUUUAUGUCUCAAUGAAUAGUAUGAAAUUUCUUUUACUGUUGUCAAUAGUAUUAUAAUUAACUGCAAGUGCAACAGGCAAUCUGGCUAUCUGAGUUAUUCUGUAUAGUUGGGUGGCUGGCAAUUGCAUUCUCAAAGGUCUUUUUCCUUUAGCUUCUCUUUUUCAUCACAAUCAUGCUUGAUUUGGUUGCCUGCAUGAAAACUGUACUUAGAAUCUUAUUUGGAAUUAAAUGCUCCUUUUCGGGGUUCAAGUUUCAUGUCUACCUCUAUCUACAAUUAAAAUGGUAUGUCAAUAGGCUAUAAUUUACCUCUGUACUUGUUGAUAGGAUGCUUGGUCCCUAUAUCUUGGACGAUGUUCUAUUGGGAUUGGACUUGCACUUAUUGCUUAUGUGGUAAGUGAGGUGAACAUUUUCAUGGUUGCUUAAUUCACAUGUGAGGCAUGUCACAGCAUUUGCAUCACUGUUCCAAGACAGAUACCUAUGUAUAUUGCGGAAAUAACACCCAAAAACAUCCGGGGAGCAUUUACAGCUACUAGUCAGGUAUAUAUAUGUUAAUUAUAAUGAUUGUAUUACUUGUCUAACUUAUAUUUAAUGAGCAUUUACUUUGUCAUCAAUUCUGCAGUUCUUGAUUAUGUCUGGUAUGUCAGUAAUGUAUUUGGUGGGUACUAUUGUUUCCUGGCGAGCCCUGGCUCUAAUUGGUAGCUUCAGCUUGCCCUGCUUUUGAUUUCAUUUGCUUAAUUGCGAAGCCCUUCAAGAUUUCUGAUGUUUCUUUUUCGUUUAAUUUUUAGCUGCUGUUCCAUGUCUGUUGCAAGUUGUUGGUUUGUUCUUCAUUCCAGAGUCACCAAGAUGGCUGGUUAGUCCAAGUCAAAUGUCCAUAAACUUUUUUCCUGGUGGAAUUUAAUUUUGCAAAAAGCAGAGACUGGAGUCCCUAGCUUUUUGUUUAAGCUCUUGUUACUAUGCUUGUGAACUAAGAGCAUAUUAAAGUUAAAUGUGUAUUUCUCUUUGCAGGCAAAGAUAGGUAAAGAAAAAGAGCUAGAAACUACUCUGCAGCGCCUUACAGGAAAGACUGCAGAUAUUUCUAUGGAAUCUGCUGACAUCAGAAUAAAAUUCCAACUCUAAUAUUUGACUACUCAGUAAUUACAAAACACACGAAACAGCUGUACAUCUCUUACACAAAACAACCAAUGAGCAUCCCAUAUUGUACAGGAUUACACGCAGACAUUUGAGAAGGACUCGAAAGCUGGGAUUUUUGACCUGUUUCAACGGAGAUAUGCUUAUUCACUCUCAGUGAGUCCUCAAUAGUUGUAUUUUUUUUUUUUUUAAUAUUUGUAAUCUCGUCAUAUAUCAUCUGUCCUAUGAUUUUUAUGUUUGAUUAUUUAAUUGGUUUAGGUUGGAGUUGGAUUAAUGGUAAUGCAACCAUUUGUAGGAUCAGCUGCAAUUGCAUAUUAUGCUAGCUACAUAUUUGCAGCAGCUGGUAAAUAAACAACAUUUUGUACUAUUUCAUAGAACUUCUGAACAUCCAAGAAAAUGACAGUAUGAAUCGUUUGUUUGUAACAGAUCUUUCGACGGACAUUGGGAGUAUAUCAAUGGCUAUCAUUCAGGUAAUUGACCAUCAAUCAAACGUGAGAUUUUUCCAUUUGAAAUACUCAGGAACAUACAAAUUCUCUUGCAGCUUCCGGCUAUGGGCGCGUCUGUACUCCUGACAGAUAGAUUUGGAAGAAGACCACUUCUUUUGGUAUGCACAUAUCAGAGAAUUAAGUUUAUCCAAAAGUUAGUUAUUCAGGAUAUAUAUAUGUUCAUAUUUUUGCAGGCUUCUACUAUCGGGAUGGGCUUAAGUCUCACUAUUAUAGCUUUGGCAUUUGGCCUGCAGGUUCUUCUAUCACAAUAUUUAUGCACUUCUUCACUAGUUCUCAAUUCUGUUUGACAUAUUUAUGAUCAUUGCUUAAAAUACUUAUGUGCAGGACACCCAUCUUUGGAAUGAGGCUACUCCAGUCCUUGUGUAUGUUGGCAUAAUGGUAAUAGUCUCUAAAUGUUGUGAGCUUACAUCAAAGGGUUCUCUCUCUAUAAAGAUUUUUUUCCCCCCUAUUGUAUUGUCUGCCUAAUUGGAGCAACAUAUGACAAAAUAUAUGAUCAGGGGUUUAGCAUAGCUUUUGCAUUAGGCAUGGCGGGACUACCAAGUGUCAUAAUGGCUGAGGUAUAUGACUACAUGAUCUAGCUCUACUUCUUUUCAUGAAUGUCUUAACAGGAGUCGAUAAAUAAGCCAUUGAACUUCCAUUUUUUAGAUAUUUCCUAUAAACAUCAAAGGUUCAGCAGGAAGCCUGCUGAUUUUACUCCACAACUGCAGCAAUUGGAUAGUUACAUACACUUUCCAUUUCAUGAUGGAAUGGAGCAGAACAGGCACCUGAAACCCCCCACCAUAUAUGCUCGUACUAUUUUCCACUUCACAAUCCUCUUUAUCUUGCUCUCUAAUUACAAGUCUGUGUUGGCUGCUAUGGCAGGAACAUUUUCUAUAUUCUGGGUCAUAUGCGCUGCCGCUGUCCUGUUUGUUGCAUUUCUGGUGCCGGAGACCAAGGGACGAACACUCGAAGAAAUUCAAGUAUCAAUUACAAAGUAUUAAUAAAUUUUAUAACAGAACUCCACAUUUGUCCAAAACCAUGCACAUAUAAAUGCCUUAAUACAAUGGUGUAUAUGAUCUUGGAGCCAAAUUAUUACAAAAAUGAGAAAUGAAAAUGAGAAAAUGGCUAAGACCUUAAAAAGUUGAGAGACAAGGAUUGAAAGAUGAAGAAUAAAGUAGCUGGGAGAAGAAGAAGAAAGUCGAUAAGAGUGGGAAAAUGUGCAGAAUAAGUUUGAUAAUUUAUUGAGUAUUUGUUGCGCAUGUAGGGCGCAUAAUGGCUACAGAAACAUCUCAGUUUAUGAUAAUUAUCAUUUUGUUGUGGAAUUAAUUGGAAAUUAUCCAGACAUACACAUAAAUAAUAAGAAGUUAAAGGAUCAGGUCAAGAAAAUGGACGCCAACCUUUGUGAGAGUGGUCACCUGCUUCGAAGUUCUCAAUAACUCAUAAUAUAUUUCACUUUCACUGCUUUAGUGCGACUCGAAUCCUCAUGCAACUCCUAAUAUAUUUGACGUCUUUAGUGUGACCCAGUUUAGUACUCUAGUGCAUGACCUGUGAAUUGGCCUUUAUUCAAGGGUACGUCUAUAAGAGCACUCACGGGCCAUGUUGGCAAGUCAAAGCAUUACCACGAUUUCCUGCCUGUCCCAAAAGGGCAUAAAUAAUUUUUUAGGGCAGUUGCAGUAGUUGUCAUGCGCUUGCUUCGUUCAUUUGCCUUGCUUUCCCUUGAAGAAAUUAAUCAUCAUGGAGAGACCAGAAGAAAGGUUGAAGUUGGAGGAAAGACUAAUUCCAAGUUCUUCACUUGCUGAUGAAAUUGGUGAUGGCAGUGGCAUGCAAGAAAGUGAUUCUUCAGCCACACCUGCUGUUGUUCUCGGCGCUUUGGUGGCCGUACGUGGUUCAUUUGCUUAUGGUUGAUCUGUAUGUACCAUUAUUAUCAUCAUGUUUUUAGUGUUGUUUUCUCUCUCUCUUUUUCAGUUCCUUUUCUUGAUGCCGUGUAUUUAGACAUGUUCAUUAGUUACACUAUAAAUGUGAAUAAUUGUAGUGUCUUAGAAUUGUAACUGGGCUGUUACAUUCACAUUCCAUUUCAUGAUGGAAUGGAGCAAAACAGGUAUCCGAUAACCCCCGAUGCUUAUACAUUUUCCAUUUCGCAAUCCUCUGUCUUCUGUGUUGCUCUCUAGUUACAAGCCUGUGUUGGCAACUCUGGCAGGAACAUUUUCUAUAUCCUGGGUCAUAUGCGCCGCAGGUGUUGCGUUCGUUGCAUUCCUGGCGCCGGAGACCAAGGGACGAACGCUUGAAGAAAUACAAGCUUCAAUUACAAAGCUUUUUGGGACAUAAAUCAACAUCACUCACAGUGCAAGUGUAAACUCGGCUCACAGAUUGUGCUUGAUGCGACGUCCCGGAUUGGACUGUACUGGACUAAAAUGUAUUAAGUUUAAUAUGUUACUGAAUUAUAAUCUCUAUUAAAUUUUUUUAGUAAUAAUAGAUUAAUAUUAUUUGUGUACUUUAUAUUCUUAUUAAUUAAUAAAAUAUUAUCAUCGUCAUCAUCACCACUCCGGGCUAAUGUCAAUCGCUGACAAUUUCUUUGUUGUCAUAUAAACCAAAGAUAAAUUUGUAGGGUCCAGUGAUCAUUUAAAAAAAAAAAAAAAUAGAGGCUUUUUCCUAGCCGCACGAGUUAGUGGAAAAUGAUGGGCCCGGUCAGUUAUUAUUGCUGGGUUCUGGUAGUCUCCAAAGUUAGUUAAUCCAGGCCCAACCAGUGGACCGAGCCGAAAUUACAGUUAGCCUUUCCUUGGGUUUUCAGUCAUUCCAUACCAUACCAUUGAAACUCAAAGAUUUUUAUUUUAUUUUCUUUUUUUUUGAUACAAAAAAGGGCUAAGUUAAAAACUAAGCAAUGACCAUUGGUGGAUAAGCAGUCCCAAAUACAUGAUGCAGCAGCCACCCUUCAGUUCCGGACGGAGGCGUGGGAUUUAUUUUAUUUUCUUUACUUAGCAGAAAAAUGAUUGUUGUUGAAACUUUUUCUCUUCGCGUGUACAGCUUGCAUGGAAAGUGACGCCGCAUUGAUUUUUUUUUUUUUUUUAAAUUUAUUUCAAAUACUGAUACGUUGCAAUCAAAAGCCUAAUGAUUCAAGAUAUACGUAAUACGUCCACUCUGCAUAAGAUAAGAGUGGGACGGGAAGCCAUACAAAAUCGAUACUACCCACAUGAUGAGUGUUUGGCUUUAGGAUGGUGUUUAUUAACAUGUCUGCAUUGUAACUCGCACUAAUUAGUAUUUCUUCUUUUUAUCAUUUUUUUUUUAAAGAUAAGAGAGUAGAUAAAGCUUGAGUUUAUUUUUUUAAAUUACUCGACCGCGUUCUUAGAGACAAUAUAGAUAUAUACCAACUAUUUCGGAUAAUUAAUUCUUGUAAGUUAACAUGGUUCAGCUGGAAGCCAAUAUUUCUGCUCUUCGAUUGUCCAAUAUUGCCCCACUAUUUUUUUAAUUACUUGAGGUUAUUAGUUAGAACACAAUUCAUAUUUUGUGAGACUCAGAUAAUUAUUGAAAAUAAUAUUUUAUAAAGAAGAAAUUUUCCUUCCAUAUACUCAAUUAUACAAUAUAAUUAAGAAAAGAAUUAUCUCCCCAUACUUUUUUGAGGGGUUUAAAUUGUGAGGACAAUAACCUUAAUCAUUGGGCCUAAAGUCAAGUGGCUUAUUGUUCCUAGUAAAAUUAAAAUUAAAAUUAAAGUCUUUUUCUAUUAUCAUAAUAUUGAAAAAAAAAAAAAUUUGUCAGGUGGGCUCUAUGCAGUCGCAUCAUUUCAACUGUUUUUUUAUAAUUCCAAUAAUGCAGUGUUCUUUCUUUCACUUGCUCCUGUGAAAGAAUUAGGACAUGGAGAAUCCAGAAAGCUUGGAGGAGGGACUAAUAGCAAAGUCUUCACUUGCUCAGCCAAAUCCUAUAAAAAUUACAAAUGAAGUUGGUGAGCGCAGUGGCUUGCCGGAGAGUGACAAUUCUUCAGCUACACCCGUUGUUGUUCUUAGCACCUUGGUAGCCAUAUGUGGUUCAUUUGCUCAUGGCUGUUCUGUAAGUAGCAUACCGUUAUCAUGCAUGCUAGUUACUUUUUUUUGUUUCUUGACCUUAAAUGUGAAGAAGAAAUGAGUAGAUUACCAUAAAAUUGAGUUUUUUUUAUUGAUUUUUAAUUGUCUAUCCUACCUACAAUUAGGGGUGGGCAUAAACCCACAACCCAUGGGUUUACCCAAACCCAAACCAAAUUAAAUGGUUUGGGUUGGGUAAAUCAUGAAAAUGGGUUAGAUGUGGGUUUUAUAUAGAAAAUCAUUUCAUUAUGGGUUGGGUAUGGUUUACCCAUGGGUCAUGGACAAAACCCCAACACUCAAACUUUUCAAAUGAAAUAAAUGAAAACAAAAUAAAUGAACACAAAUAAGUGAAAGACCACCAUUAAAUUUUUUAAGGCGUGAUCAAUUGUCAACAGUUAGAAAAUGAAAAUAACAGUAAAAAUAAAUUUAAAUUAAAUAAAUAUUGUUGUAAAUAACAUAAAAUUUUUUUCUUAUUUACAAAAAUAAUUCCUCCCACAUGGAAGGAUCAUCAUAGAAAGAGCAAAAGACUCUACUAGUGAUCAAUAAUAACUCGGCUUGGACUGGGUCCGAUAUGCUAGAUGACGGCUAAUUUUUGAUCAAUAAUUGAAUGUAAUGCCCAUAUUAGGCCCUGUACAAAACUUUGCUUACCAUAUAAUGAAAUUAGAACGUAAAGCAUACACACUAUCUAAUAUUAGAAUGUAAAUAAAAUUAAGGGGGAUUGUCACUUUCCCCCCUACAGUAAUUAACAUAUACCAUUUACCCCCUUUCUGUUUUUAAAUGGCCAAAAAUCCCUCUGACAACAUAAAUUUACAAUAUUACCUUUAUUUUUAACUACUCUUUUAUUUACAUUUAUUAUAAAUUAAAUAAAUUACAUGAAUAGAAAACUAAAUAAAAAAAUUAAGUAUUAAAACAAGAAAUAUAUGUUUUGAUAUGAGCAAAAAAAUUAAUAAUAAAAUUUUUUCUUGUAAUUAUUUAUUUUGUGAACAUUUUCUUAUAAUAAACAUUUUGUAAUAUUUUAAAAUUAAAUGUAAAAAGUAUAGGUAAAAUAUUUUAUUAUUUAUCUUAUAAUAAAUUUUUAUUUUUCAUUCAAGUUUUCUUAUAAUAAUUUUUUUAUCAUUUUACUAAUAAUUUUCUUAUAUAUUUAUUAUAAGAAAAUUUUCACAAAAUAAAUAAGUAUAAAAAGUUUUUAUUAUUAAUUUUUUUGUUCAUAUCAAAACAUAUAUUUCUUAUUUUUAAUGCUUUAUUUUUAUUUAGUUUCUAUUCAUGUGAUUUAUUUAAUUUAUAAUAAAUAUAAAUAAAAGAGUAGUUGAAAAUAAGUUAUUGUAAAAUUUAUAAUUUUUAUCCACUAUAUUUUUUUAUAUGUUAAUAUCAAUUUAAUAAUUAAUAACAAUUAAUAAUUAUUAUAAUUUUGAUAUAAUUAAAUUUUAUUAAAAUAAAAAUUAUUUUAAUAAUAAAAUUCAAACCAAACUCAAACCAAACCCAAAUGGUUUGGUUUGAGUUGUGUUAAAAAUAUUUGGGUUGGUUUGGGUUGGAUUCAAAUUUUUAUGGUUUGAUUUGGGUUGACUUAAAAUCCAACCCAAACCAACCCAUGCCCACCCCUACCUACAAUCAUGUGAUUGGUAUUAGGUAAGCUUAGAUGACAGGUCCAGUACUUUUAUGUUAGAUGGUGUGUAUUUGUCAAAUGUUUUUCACUUUCAGCAAACAGUGGAAUAGUGUAUUAUGGUGGCUUACCAACUUGAGCAAAUUGGAUUGUUUCAAAGUUUCAUUCUUGUUUUGAAAUGCAGCUCAAUUAUCAAUUACCAAUCAACAGUUACUUUAAGCCAACGGAAUAGGAUCUUAUGUCAAUAUGUUUAACAUUAACAUAAAUGUGUUUUUAGUUGGUGACUUUAGAGAAUAGAGAUAAGCAUUAAUCAAAAUUUUCAUCAUCAAAUACAUGAAACAGGUGGACUAUCCUAAUCAUAAAAAAAAUAAUCUAUUAUAAUAUAUACUAAAAAUUCAAAUGCGCAUAAAGAUUUCUUCUGCAGCUGUCAUUCCAAUUUCUUAUUUCAUAGUUGUCGAAUGCUUCUUUUUUUCCAUUGCCCCUCUUUCGCUCAAGAAAAAUAAUGAUGGAGACAUCAGAAAGCUUGGAGGAAGGACUAAUUCCGAAUCCUCCACUUCUUGAGCCAACGCCUAUGAUCACCAAUGAAAUUGGUAAUGGCAGUGGCAUGUCUGAAAGUGAUUUUUCUACUACACCUGCUGUUGUUUUCAGCACCUUGGUGGCCAUAUGCGGCUCAUUUACUUAUGGCUGUGCUGUAAGAUCCAUUGCUGUUUUUUUGCUGUCAGAGCAAGUCAAUACAUUUUUCUUGCAAGUUUAAUCUCUAAAUGCUUGAAGAUAGGAGGCUUUCAGGAGCAGUUUUGAGUGAAAUCACUUUCAUCACAAGCCACUAGUCAAAAUAUUAGUUUUUCAUUGACUGCAAUAGAUUGAUUUGAUUGUUGUUUUCAG
This 9711-nucleotide long non-coding RNA is filed under the name Citrus maxima (pomelo). RNAcentral's name for it is "long non-coding RNA (CMAX_LNC000941)". Lineage: Eukaryota; Viridiplantae; Streptophyta; Magnoliopsida; Sapindales; Rutaceae. The record is from RNAcentral.